CCCCACUGCUAUCGGGAUGGGACUAAGACAUGCUAGUCGAGCGUCUCCAAGCUAUGGAAGAGACGCGGCACACAGCUCAGUAACACGUGGCUAACCUGCCCUUGGGACAAGGACAACUCCGGGAAACUGGGGCUAAUCCCUGAUAAGUGAGAACUCCUGGAAUGGAUUCUCGCUCAAAGGACGUUUAGACCAUGCUUCUAGGCGUCGCCCAAGGAGGGGGCCGCGACCGAUCAGGUUGUUGGUGAGGUAACGGCUCACCAAGCCUUUAACCGGUACGGGCCGUGAGAGCGGAAGCCCGGAGAUGGGCACUGAGACAAGGGCCCAGGCCCUACGGGGCGCAGCAGUCGCGAAAACUCCGCAAUACACGAAAGUGUGACGGGGCCAUCCCGAGUGCCAUCCGCUGAGGAUGGCUUUUCCCCAGUGUAUAAAGCUGGGGGAAUAAGGAGAGGGCAAGCCUGGUGUCAGCCGCCGCGGUAAUACCAGCUCUCCGAGUGGUGGGGAUGUUUAUUGGGCCUAAAGCAUUCGUAGCCUGCUUGGCAAGUCCUCCGUUAAAUCCAACGAUUCAAUCGUUGGGCUGCGGGGGAUACUGUCCGGCUAGGGGGCGGGAGAGGCCGACGGUAUCCUCGGGGUAGGGGUGAAAUCCUAUAAUCCCGGGAGGACCACCAGUGGCGAAGGCUGUCGGCUAGAACGCGCUCGACGGUGAGGGAUGAAAGCUGGGGGAGCGAACCGGAUUAGAUACCCGGGUAGUCCCAGCUGUAAACGAUGCAGGCUAGGUGUUGGCGCGGCUACGUGCCGCUCCAGUGCCGCAUGGAAGCAAUUAAGCCCGCCGCCUGGGAAGUACGGCCGCAAGGCUGAAACUUAAAGGAAUUGGCGGGGGAGCACCACAAGGUGUGAAGCUUGCGGUUU
RNAcentral lists this ribosomal RNA (906 nucleotides) under uncultured archaeon. RNAcentral's name for it is "bacterial SSU rRNA". It matches the Rfam family "Archaeal small subunit ribosomal RNA", at positions 21 to 903 of the family's 1478-position model. The record is from RNAcentral.